CGCGAAACCUUUACACUGCAYGAGAGUSCGAUAAGKGGACUCCCAGUGUKAGGGCAUACAGUCCUCGCUUUUCKGGACSGUAGGGAGGUCCAGGAACAAGUGCUGGGCAAKACCGGUGYCAGCCGCCGCGGUAAUACCKGCAGCACGAGUGAUGGCCGAUAUUAUUGKGCCUAAAGCGUCCGUAGCCGGCCAGACAAGUCCGUUGGGAAAUCCACGUGCUCAACACGUGGGCGUCCAGCGGAAACUGUCUGGCUUGGGGCCGGAAGACCCAAGGGGUACGUCCGGGGUAGGWGUGAAAUCCCGUAAUCCUGGACGGACCGCCGAUGGCGAAAGCACCUUGGGAGGACGGACCCGACGGUGAGGGACGAAAGCCAGGGUCUCGAACCGGAUUAGAUACCCGGGUAGUCCUGGCCGUAAACGAUGUCCGCUAGGUGUGGCGCAGGCUAYGAGCCUGCGCUGUGCYGUAGGGAAGCCGUGAAGCGGACCGCCUGGGAAGUACGUCUGCAAAGAUGAAACUUAAAGGAAUUGGCGGGGGAKCACUMCAACCGGAGGAGCCUGCGGUUUAAUUGGA
This 571-nucleotide ribosomal RNA is filed under the name uncultured haloarchaeon. RNAcentral describes it as "partial 16S ribosomal RNA". It matches the Rfam family "Archaeal small subunit ribosomal RNA", at positions 340 to 910 of the family's 1478-position model. Lineage: Archaea; Methanobacteriati; Methanobacteriota; Halobacteria; Halobacteriales; Halobacteriaceae. The record is from RNAcentral.